This 440-nucleotide ribosomal RNA is filed under the name uncultured bacterium. RNAcentral's name for it is "partial 16S ribosomal RNA". It matches the Rfam family "Bacterial small subunit ribosomal RNA", at positions 338 to 795 of the family's 1533-position model. The record is from RNAcentral.
CCUACGGGAGGCAGCAGUGGGGAAUAUUGCACAAUGGGGGAAAGCCUGAUGCAGCAACGCCGCGUGAGUGAAGAAGUAUUUCGGUAUGUAAAGCUCUAUCAGCAGGGAAGAAGAUGACGGUACCUGAUUACGAAGCCCCGGCUAACUACGUGCCAGCAGCCGCGGUCAUCCGUAGGGGGCAAGCGGUAUUCGGAUUUACGGGGUGUAAAGGGGGCGCAGACGGCAGCGCAAGUCUGGAGUGAAAGCCCGGGGCCCAACCCCGGAACUGCUCUGGAAACUGUGCGGCUAGAGUACUGGAGGGGCAGGCGGAAUUCCUGGUGUAGCGGUGAAAUGCGUAGAUAUUAGGAGGAACACCAGUGGCGAAGGCGGCCUGCUGGACAGUAACUGACGUUGAGGCUCGAAAGCGUGGGGAGCAAACAGGAUUAGAUACCCCAGUAGUC